UACGAAGGGGGCUAGCGUUGUUCGGAAUUACUGGGCGUAAAGCGAGUGUAGGCGGUUUCCUAAGUCAGGUGUGAAAGCCCCGGGCUCAACCCGGGAAGUGCACUUGAAACUGGGAGGCUAGAGUAUCGGAGAGGUUGGUGGAAUUCUCGGUGUAGAGGUGAAAUUCGUAGAUAUCGAGAGGAACACCAGUGGCGAAGGCGAGUCCCUGGACAACACCUGACACUGAGGCACGAAAGCUAGGGGAGCAAACAGG
RNAcentral lists this ribosomal RNA (253 nucleotides) under uncultured bacterium. Its description in RNAcentral is "partial 16S ribosomal RNA". It matches the Rfam family "Bacterial small subunit ribosomal RNA", at positions 524 to 776 of the family's 1533-position model. The record is from RNAcentral.